RNAcentral lists this long non-coding RNA (1682 nucleotides) under Marmota monax (woodchuck). Lineage: Eukaryota; Metazoa; Chordata; Mammalia; Rodentia; Sciuridae. The record is from RNAcentral.
GAGUAGGCCUCCGUUCCCAGUAAGAGGCAGUUUAGAAGUUAAAGCAAUCUGGAGCUUCCACUUCAGAAGGGGCUGCUCCGGAGGCUACAGAAAAACCAGUUUUCAGGAAGUUGCCCUUAGUUUCAGAGGGUGUCUGUUCCACCACGGCUACUUCUGCAGGGUCCUGGCAGCCAGAAGUCCCUGAUGGAGGUGUCAGCAGGGCCAGCCUCUCUCCUGGCUCUGGGGAGCGUCCUUCCGGUCCUUCCUGGUAACUGGCCAUCCGUGGGGUUCCUCAGCUUGUGGCCUGUCCGCACAUGGCCAAUUUUUUCAGAAAGGUAUAGUGCGCCUGGGUGGUUUGGGUGACUUCUCCAGGUUGCACCUUAGCUGACGUGCUGAUGCCUCGGUGGGGCAGGGAGCCCUCGCUGACCAGAAGCAUCUCUCUUGAGCCUGGUACUGGUCUGAGGAAAGAGCAAUCAGGGCUGGUCAGGGGGAAGAUGGUCACUAACAAGCUGCUCAGUGCAACAUUUUUUCUUUCUUUUGUGUGCUAGGGAUGGAACCGAAGUCCUUUUGAAGUAGGACAGAAGAAAUUAGAAGAAAAAACCAGGUAGACAGGACCCUGAAGGAGUGACAGGGAGCCAGGCUGUGGGUCAGAAGGGCCGCCUGUCACUCCUGGAUUCCUGGGAAAUCCGUGACUCUGCCUAUGCAGAGCUAAUCCACCCUAGAACAUAGAAGCAGCAAAGAGAGGACGUUUUAAGAAAUCUAUAGCUUAGGAGACCUUCCAUUCCUAUUUACGGAUCAGAUAACAGACCAUGUCAGCCUCAGGAUCUCAGAGUGACCAGACCCAUGUCACCCACACAGCUUCCCGUGCCCACCCCUCCCUAAGAUUGCUUUGAAGAGGAGCCCUCGGGACCUCUCCCUCUGGAGAUGGCUGCAUCCAACCUGGAGGGCGCAUCUGCUUCCUACACAAGCCUCUCUCCAUGCCCAGGGCUGGCAAGCACUGGAAUUCUUUUCUGUCACAUGAGCCAAGGGCCCCAUUGAGCCUGAGUCAGUUCUCUGCUCUCUCCAGGAACUUCACCCUUCUCCUGGGCCACCUCUUCUCCAGUGACACUUGUACUCACUGAGUACAGGCUGCACGCUAAGUUAUGCUCUGGCCCCCGGCCCAUGUGCUGGGAUCCUGUCUGUGCCUGGCACUGUCCCGGACCUCCCAGAACUGUCUGUGAUGGAGGAUAUAGUCUACAUCUUCACCAGCCAGCAUGGUGGCCCCUAACUAGUUGGUGCCACUCUGGAACUGAAUUUGUAGUUUUCAAAAUUUAAGCAAUUUAGGGGCUGGGGAUAUAGCUCAGUUGGGAGAGUACUUGCCUUGCCUGCGCAAAGCCCUGGGUUCAAUCCACAGCACCACAAAAAAUAACAAUAAAAAAAAUAAAAAUUUAAGCAAUUUAAAUGUAGAGGAAAUAAAGCUGAUACUUUGAUUCAGUGCUCAGAAAACUUCUAUGCCUGUUUGAAAUACCUGGCAAUGCAAACCUGUUUUUUCCCACUGUAAAAUGUAAAAAGAGAUCAAGGAUUUCUGAUGCAAAUUAGCAUCAAGAGGGGGAUGUAAUACGCACUGGAUCCUAAGACUGGGUUUGACAAAAAUGACAUAGAAUACCCCAUUAAUAAUAGUUGAGUUUGAUUACAUGUUAAAACAAAAAUAUUUUUAAUAAAAC